Molecule: ribosomal RNA, 116 nt
Filed under: Escherichia coli
Lineage: Bacteria; Pseudomonadati; Pseudomonadota; Gammaproteobacteria; Enterobacterales; Enterobacteriaceae
Source: RNAcentral
CUUGGCGGCCUUAGCGCGGUGGUCCCACCUGACCCCAUGCCGAACUCAGAAGUGAAACGCCGUAGCGCCGAUGGUAGUGUGGGGUCUCCCCAUGUGAGAGUAGGGAACUGCCAGGC